UGAUGUCACGGACCCAACCACCGUCGUUGGGUGACGGAAGGGGAGUGUUGGUGUCGACCGAGAAGUGCAGGGAGGGUUGGGUGUUUUAUUCUUUCCCCUCCCACAUCCAGCUUUAGCGCGAGAAUUUCUUUUUUCUUCCGUCUUCUUAAUAGUCGUAGUGGUGGUGUCGAUAGCUCGGUUGUCGACCUCCCCGGGCUGGGGAAUGAUAUAAUCGUGGAGAAUGCCGAGCUGCCGAUAGGCUGGAAGGCUUCAGGCUUGGAUGGGGCUGUUAUGGUGAGGGUCCAUGUUUAGCCGCCAUUUCGGCAGCAGAGCCGUUUAUCUAUAAGAAAAGCAGGAGGAGGACCCAGCUUUGUGACAGCUUAUUCAAAGGAGGAACCAGCUUUGUGACAGCUUAUUCAAAGGAGGAACCAGCUUUGUGACAGCUUAUUCAAUCAGAAGAAACUCUGGAAAGACUUCAUGAAGGUGUGAGCCAGGAUGUGUUUCUGUGGCAAUGGGAAGGCCAUGGGGAGAGAAGAUCAAAUGCACAGAGAAAGAGAAUACACUAGCUCAGAAAUUUAUGAAAAUAUACAGAUGGGAAUUUCCUUACUUGCAUGCCUCAUGCUUAUUUUCACAGGUCAGGCAGUCAGAUUUACUUUUGUCUGUGGGUUUCAGUCUCUUUUUGUAGUGAAUCAAUAUGAAGAAGUGCAGGCAUGAGAUAAGCUCACAUUAAGGGACUUGGGAAAAGGGUAUAAAGGGAUUUAAACAGGCUGCAAAACUAUAUAGAAAGUCAAGCAGCCAGUCAUACACAUUUAUCUCAAACAGAAAGUCUGAGCAAUCGCAAGCAGCACUGCUUAUAAAAUACACUCGAUACUAAUAGGGAGCAGAGUUUGAACACCAACAAAGCAGCACUUAACUGCAGGACUGAUUGAGGACAAGGCACAAAGGGGACUUAUUUGGGAGAAGGGAAGCUGCAGACCUCUUUUGAAAUGGCAAGCACGUGUCCUCACUUACCAUCCUGUGGAUAUACUUAGUAUGUAAGCCAUGUUCAUCCUUGUCCAGCUGGGAUUCAGCCCCUUCAACAUCCUGUUUGUAUUUUGGACUGAUUGCUAUGAUUAUCAUCACUGUCUUCUGUCAGGGAGAAAGACGCUUUUAUGAAAUUGUAAAAUGCAAUGUAGUUGGGCAAAGCAGCUUGGAAACCUGCCAGUUUGUAUUAUACGUGAUCUGAUGUUCUCUGGAAGCAUAAAACAAUCCAGUGCGUGUUGGCAAUGAAGCAAUACUAAUCUCUGCACACUGUAUUUCUUCAUACCAGAUUUCCUGAAUCUCUCCACUAGUAAAUUUUAAAAAGGGAGAGAAAAUAUAUUUCAGUAUUGACCAGGUUAUCUUCCAAAAUCUCAUUAAUCAAUAAUGCAAAACAUUUCCAAAACACAUGAGUAAUGCACCAUCAGUAUCCAAGGUAUGGAUGUUUAUUAACUGAAACUCUAUCACUGUUCAAGUAGAAUAUAUACCCUGUUCAAAGAGAAUCUGAAUUCUGUGCUACAGUAAGUCAAGAUUUUGUGACCUGUAUAAAAUAAUACACAUGAAUAAAUAUGCUUACUUUUGCUUCUGUUUUGUAUCCUAUUCCUUUCUAGUUAUACUGGCUACCUGUUUAUUUCCAGACCCAACAUAAAGGGCUGUUUUGGGCCUUUAAAGUCCUAAACUGUUUAGGAUCAGGUUAUCUGGAGGAUCACCUGGACAUGUGUGCACCUAUCUGAGCAUUACAAUCAGCCUCUGAGGCUUUGCUAUCUGGUCCACCAAUAAGAUUGAUGGGCACUGGAAACAUGGCAUCUUCAGUGAUGGAUCUGUAUUUAAAGAAUGCCCUCCCAUCACUGCUGAUUUUUAAAAGAACUCUUAACAUGUUUUUAUUUCAAUUUGUGUUUUGUUAAUUGCUGUGUCCAGAAGCAGCUCACCGAGUGGGUAAGAGCCUGGCAAUUGGGCUGCUGUGUUUUAUGGGAGGGAGAGUGGCAAGGCAACAGGAGGUUGGCCUGGUGCAAAUACACUGGCAGAGCCAAUCCAGGGCUCCUGCUGAUGCCAUUGCAGUGUGCCAACAUCCCUGCUGCUUCUCCCCUCCCCAUCCUGGUAUGGAACAGUGACCCACCUGCUGGGAAGCCAGCAUAGUGGCUCCACCCCACCCAGUGAGCUACUUCUGGUUGUGUCGUGAUAAAGUUUUACUUUGUUUUAAGGGAUAUGAUGUGGAUUUAAACUUAAUUAUUUUAUAUUUUAUAUUGUUUUGCUUAUUGUGUAUUUAAUUUGGACACUGCCUUGCGAAGGCAACUGCCCUGAAAAGCCAUUUAUAAAUCUUUGAAUGAAUGAAUGAAUAAAAAGCUGCUGCUUCACCUUA
This is a long non-coding RNA of Rhineura floridana, 2356 nucleotides long. RefSeq lists it as uncharacterized. The record is from RefSeq and is a predicted model, not a curated record. The transcript has 2 exons. Lineage: Eukaryota; Metazoa; Chordata; Lepidosauria; Squamata; Rhineuridae.